Molecule: ribosomal RNA, 484 nt
Filed under: uncultured bacterium
Lineage: Bacteria
Description: partial 16S ribosomal RNA
Rfam family: Bacterial small subunit ribosomal RNA
Source: RNAcentral
AUUGAACGCUGGCGGCAGGCCUAACACAUGCAAGUCGAGCGGAUGAAGGGAGCUUGCUCCUGGAUUCAGCGGCGGACGGGUGAGUAAUGCCUAGGAAUCUGCCUGGUAGUGGGGGAUAACGUCCGAAAACGGGCCCUAUUCCCGCAUCCUUCUGGGGGGAGAAGUUGGGGGUUUUUCGAACCUCCCGCUAUCAAUGGAGCCUAGGUCGGAUUAGCUAGUUGGUGGGGUAAAGGCCUACCAAGGCGACGAUCCGUAACUGGUCUGAGAGGAUGAUCAGUCACACUGGAACUGAGACACGGUCCAGACUCCUACGGGAGGCAGCAGUGGGGAAUAUUGGACAAUGGGCGAAAGCCUGAUCCAGCCAUGCCGCGUGUGUGAAGAAGGUCUUCGGAUUGUAAAGCACUUUAAGUUGGGAGGAAGGGCAGUAAGUUAAUACCUUGCUGUUUUGACGUUACCAACAGAAUAAGCACCGGCUAACUUCGUG